This 1087-nucleotide long non-coding RNA is filed under the name Felis catus (domestic cat). Its description in RNAcentral is "lncRNA (ENSFCAG00000050513.1)". Lineage: Eukaryota; Metazoa; Chordata; Mammalia; Carnivora; Felidae. The record is from RNAcentral.
GUUGCAUCACCCUGGGUCUCAGAAGUUGUGUGUAGCCACUGACCAGGAGCUGCCUGCCUGCGGGGCAGCCUGGGGUGGAGUACCCCGGCUGGGUAGCAUCUACCCUACCCCUUAACUUUAUCCUAAAAAAGACCCAUUCCCUUCCCCUCUUCUCCCCCAGAUGACCGAAACCUAAUUGUGUGCUGCCACAUAGGGCCCCGGGUCAGAGCAUGAGUGCCUCGGGACUGGCCAUCAGACUUGGGGAGAAACCACUUCUCGGUAGCGGUGGAGACGAGCGCCUGUGUCAUGAGGUUCUCGGGUUCCUGAGUUCCGAGUACUGUGCUUUGAACUGGGGAUCAGAGUGCCAUAAUCUUGGAGUCCUGCAGACUGGAUCUCCUAAGGCUAAUCACCUGCAUGAACUGCUCUGUGGAAUUUAUUUGCCCUCCCACCCAUCUGGCCUUUCCAAGAGCUGAUAGCACCGUGGGACAGGUCAGGUGAGUGAACUUAGGAAACGAUUUGCCCCUAUAGUCACCAUGUUCCUCAGGGAAGAACACGUCUUCCAGCGGGCCCCUACCCCCAGUCUUUGGAAAUGACCAUCCCUACCCGUAAGUGAUGCCGUGACCCUUCCUUACUCGUUCAUUGAGAUACUUGCCAAGUGCCUCCUGUGUGUCAGACACUGGGAUAUGACACGCCAGUAUGUAAUUUCUUUCACUUAGUGUAUGGUAAGCCCAGUGGGGAAGUAGUAUCUGCCUGCUUUACCGCUGGGAAGGGCAGGGCUGGGGCCACCGGGGGCUUUGGGCAUGCUCUUUGGAGACCAUGUCCUGUCCUGGUGUGGGUUCUGGACCCUGUGCUUCCUGCUUCCUCUCCCAAGAACCCUGCACCCUUAAGCAAGUCGGGUCACCUCUCAGAGUCCACAUCCCCAUCUGUGCAUAAAAUGAUGCCUAACAGGGCCUGGCAUGGAACAAGAGGGGAAUAAGUGUAACAAAUGAUCGCAGGUCUGGUGGUUUUACAACAGCACAAUACAAAUUUAUUGCCUCACAGUCAUGGAGGCCAGAAGCCUGAAAUCAAGUUGUGGGCACCAACAGGGUCUGGCUCCAUUUAGAGGCUC